RNAcentral lists this ribosomal RNA (373 nucleotides) under uncultured eukaryote. RNAcentral describes it as "SSU rRNA". It matches the Rfam family "Eukaryotic small subunit ribosomal RNA", at positions 587 to 972 of the family's 1831-position model. The record is from RNAcentral.
AGCUCCAAUAGCGUAUAUUAAAGUUGUUGCAGUUAAAAAGCUCGUAGUUGGAUUUCUGGUCGGGGGUUAGGGCGCACUGUCGUGAUGCCCGCGUCUUCGGCCAUCCUUCUGUUAACCCUUCAGGGCGUUCGUUCGUCGGUUGGGGGCUCAGAUAUUUUACCUUGAGAAAAUUAGAGUGUUUCAGGCAGGCUUGUGCCCGGAUACAUUAGCAUGGAAUAAUGGAAUAGGACUUUAGCCUCUUCUGUUGGUCUGAGGGGUUGGAGUAAUGAUUAAUAGGGAUAGUUGGGGGCAUUAGUACUUAACUGUCAGAGGUGAAAUUCUCGGAUUUGUUAAAGACUAACUUAUGCGAAAGCAUUUGCCAAGGAUGUUUUCA